This 263-nucleotide unclassified non-coding RNA is filed under the name plant metagenome. RNAcentral's name for it is "partial contains small subunit ribosomal RNA, internal transcribed spacer 1, and 5.8S ribosomal RNA". The record is from RNAcentral.
UUUCCGUAGGUGGACCUGCGGAAGGAUCAUUAUUGUAUAACCGAGGUGCGAGGGCUGUCGCUGACCCGAAAGGUCGUGCACGCCCGAGUGCCCUCACACACAUCCAUCUCACCCCUAUGUGCACCACCGCGUGGGUCCCCCUUUGGCUUGUUCGGAGGGGGGCUUACGUUUUCACACAAACUUUGUAUGCAGUGUAGAAUGUAUUUUUUGUUUUUGCGAUCACGCAAUCAAUACAACUUUCAACAACGGAUCUCUUGGUUCUC